UACGUAGGGUGCGAGCGUUAAUCGGAAUUACUGGGCGUAAAGCGUGCGCAGGCGGUUGUGUAAGACAGAUGUGAAAUCCCCGGGCUCAACCUGGGAACUGCGUUUGUGACUGCACAACUAGAGUACGGCAGAGGGAGGUGGAAUUCCGCGUGUAGCAGUGAAAUGCGUAGAGAUGCGGAGGAACACCGAUGGCGAAGGCAGCCUCCUGGGCCAGUACUGACGCUCAUGCACGAAAGCGUGGGGAGCAAACAGGAUUAGAUACCCUGGUAGUCCACGCCCUAAACGAUGUCAACUAGUUGUUCGGUGAGGAGACUCAUUGAGUAACGCAGCUAACGCGUGAAGUUGACCGCCUGGGGAGUACGGCCGCAAGGUUAAA
Molecule: ribosomal RNA, 376 nt
Filed under: uncultured bacterium
Lineage: Bacteria
Description: bacterial SSU rRNA
Rfam family: Bacterial small subunit ribosomal RNA
Source: RNAcentral